Molecule: non-coding RNA, 23 nt
Filed under: Cricetulus griseus (Chinese hamster)
Lineage: Eukaryota; Metazoa; Chordata; Mammalia; Rodentia; Cricetidae
Source: RNAcentral
UCCAGGAGUUCUGGGCUGUAGUG